UACGUAGGGUGCGAGCGUUAAUCGGAAUUACUGGGCGUAAAGCGCACGUAGGCGGAUUGACAAGUUGGGGGUGAAAUCCCGGGGCUCAACCUCGGAACUGCCUUUGAUACUGCAAGUCUCGAGUCCGGAAGAGGUGAGUGGAAUUCCUAGUGUAGAGGUGAAAUUCGUAGAUAUUAGGAAGAACACCAGUGGCGAAGGCGGCUCACUGGUCCGGUACUGACGCUGAGGUGCGAAAGCGUGGGGAGCAAACAGG
Molecule: ribosomal RNA, 253 nt
Filed under: uncultured bacterium
Lineage: Bacteria
Description: partial 16S ribosomal RNA
Rfam family: Bacterial small subunit ribosomal RNA
Source: RNAcentral